This 2639-nucleotide ribosomal RNA is filed under the name human gut metagenome. Its description in RNAcentral is "bacterial LSU rRNA". The stretch from base 1 to 2121 matches the Rfam family "Bacterial large subunit ribosomal RNA". The record is from RNAcentral.
AGGGCAGACGGUGGAUGCCUUGGCUCUCGGAGGCGACGAAGGACGUGAUAAGCUGCGAAAAGCCCGGGGGAGGCGCAAAUAGCCGUUGAUCCCGGGAUAUCCGAAUGGGGCAACCCGGCAGGCUGAAGGCCUGUCAUCCCGAAAGGGAGGCGAACGUGGGGAACUGAAACAUCUAAGUACCCAUAGGAGGAGAAAAUAAACAAUGAUUCCGUAAGUAGUGGCGAGCGAACACGGAAGAGCCCAAACCCAUGUCGUCUAGGCGACACGGGGGUUGUAGGACCACGACGUGGCAAGAAGGAAGGGAAAUGGAACGCCUUGGAAAAGUCGGCCAUAGACGGUGAAAGCCCGGUACAUGACUCCCUUACGAAGCCUAGUGGUAUCCUGAGUAGCGCGGGGCACGAGAAAUCUUGCGUGAAGCAGCGGGGCCCAUCCCGUAAGGCUAAAUACUCCCGAGAGACCGAUAGCGAACCAGUACCGUGAGGGAAAGGUGAAAAGAACCCCGAGCAGGGGAGUGAAAUAGACCCUGAACCCGUCUGCCUACAAGCGGUCGGAGCGUCGUAAUGACGUGACGGCGUGCCUUUUGCAUAAUGAACCUACGAGUUACCUUCCCCGGCAAGGUUAAGUUCUUGAGGAACGGAGCCGAAGCGAAAGCGAGUCUGAACAGGGCGCCAAGUCGGGGGGGGUAGACGCGAAACCGAGUGAUCUACCCUUGGCCAGGUUGAAGGUUGGGUAACACCAACUGGAGGACCGGAUGGGUAAGCGUUGAAAAGCUUUCCAAUGAGCUGAGGGUAGGGGUGAAAGGCUAAUCAAACUCGGAGAUAGCUCGUACUCCCCGAAAUGCAUUUAGGUGCAGCCUCUUUAUAGUAUAUCGUGAGGUAGAGCGACUGAUUGGAUGCGAGGGCUUCACCGCCUAUCAAGUCCAGAUAAACUCCGAAUGCGCGAUAUAUAUUUACAGGGAGUGAGGGCGCGGGUGCUAAGGUCCGUGUCCGAGAGGAGAAGAAUCCAGACCACCGGCUAAGGCCCCCAAAUGAUCGUUAAGUUGAACUAACGAGGUCGGAUCGCAGAGACAGCUAGGAUGUUGGCUUGGAAGCAGCCAUUCAUUUAAAGAGUGCGUAACAGCUCACUAGUCGAGCGAUCUGGCGUGGAUAAUAAUCGGGCAUAAACGAUCUGCCGAAGCCGUGGAUGUCGCAAGACAUGGUAGGGGAGCAUUCCAUGCCGCGUCGAAGAUGAGGGAUGACCCUUGUUGGAGCGCAUGGAAAAGCAAAUGUAGGUAUGAGUAACGAUAAGGGGGGCGAGAAACCCCCCCGCCGAAAGACCAAGGUUUCCUGAUCAACGCUAAUCGGAUCAGGGUGAGUCGGGACCUAAGGCAAAGCCGAACGGCGCCGCCGAUGGAAGAAUGGGUUAAUAUUCCCAUACUGCCUCAUGGAGUGACGUGGAGACGGAGAAGUGACAGUCCUGCCGGCUGACGGAAUAGCCGGUUGAAGGGUGUAGAUAUUGAUUCCCGUAGGCAAAUCCGCGGGGAGAGUCGAACCUGAGAGUAUACGGAGCGCUUGCGCAACGUAAUAUGGACGUAACCAUGCUCCCGAGAAAAUCCGCUAAACUUAUCCAUGCGGCACCCGUACCGUAAACGGACACACGUGGUCGGGUUGAGAAUACUGAGGCGCUCGAGUGAUUCACGGUUAAGGAACUAGGCAAAUUGACCCUGUAACUUCGGGAUAAAGGGUCCUCGUCGUAAGGCGAGGCGCAGAGAAUAGGUCCAGGCAACUGUUUAACAAAAACACAUGGCUGUGCUAAAUGGAAACAUGAUGUAUACAGCCUGACACCUGCCCGGUGCUGGAAGGUUAAGAGGAGAUGUCAUCGCAAGAGAAGCGUUGAAUUGAAGCCCCAGUAAACGGCGGCCGUAACUAUAACGGUCCUAAGGUAGCGAAAUUCCUUGUCGGGUAAGUUCCGACCUGCACGAAUGGUGUAAUGAUCUGGACACUGUCUCAACCGUGAGCUCGGUGAAAUUGUAGUAUCGGUGAAGAUGCCGAUUACCCGCGAUGGGUUCUUCGGAUACUACGUCCACAGCGGCGGCGCGGAGACGGCCGCUUUCCAGCGCGGCUUUUACCGCCGCUUCGUCCACGAGACCGCCCCGGGAGGUGUUGAUGAGGAUGGCGCCCGCCUUCAUUUUCGCGAGGGUGCCGGCGUUUAUCAGCUUCGCUGUCGCCGGGGUGAGAGGGCAGUGGAGGGAGACAAAAUCCGACUGGGCGAGCAGGGUGUCCAGAUCGACAUACUGCGCCAGCGCUUCCCCGCCCGGACGGCGUGUGCGGCUGUAGGCGAGGACGUUCAUGCCGAAGGCGCGGGCGAUGUUCGCCACGGCCUGACCGAUGCGCCCGAAGCCGACAAUGCCCAGCGUCUUCCCGGCCAGCUCCAUCUGCGGGGUGUCCCAGAAGCAGAAGGAGCCACAGCUUUCCCACCGACCCGCAUGUACCAGCGCGUCGUGAUGGCCGACCCGGUGACACAGCUCCAGCAUCAGCGCGAACGUAAACUGCGCCACGGCGGCGGUACCGUAGGUGGGGACGUUGGUCACGGGAAUGCCCCGGCGGGCGCAGGCGGCACAGUCCACGGUAUUGUAGCCCGUCGCCUGAACGCAGAUCAGA